ACUAUUUGGAUUCUGGUUGUCGACCUUGUUUCCUGCAUCUGGUUUAUGCCUCUGCCUGCCCCUUGCCUGACGCCUCUUGUUCCAAUCGUUGUCCCUGUUUCUGCCUUUGGAUUAUUGAGCCAGCCUAGCCCUCGGAUUAUUCAGCCUGGAGUCACUUCUUACUUGUGCUGUGGAGAUCACCACCUGCCGCCCACUGAGGUUUCCCUCUCUGGGUUUCAAGUUCUACUCAAGACAAAAGCAGAUGGAUUAUGUUCCUCCACAUGUUCAGGUGUUCAGUUCUGUGUCCGGUUCCUUUGAUCACCUCCAUGAGUAAAGGAGUCCAACAUGCUGGCAGCUUGAAACCGUCACAGAACCUGCAGAGGAACAAAGGGUUGUUGUUGCUGAGGAGAAGGAAGUGA
Girardinichthys multiradiatus is the source of this 398-nucleotide long non-coding RNA. RefSeq lists it as uncharacterized. The record is from RefSeq and is a predicted model, not a curated record. Lineage: Eukaryota; Metazoa; Chordata; Actinopteri; Cyprinodontiformes; Goodeidae. The transcript is spliced from 3 exons.